RNAcentral lists this ribosomal RNA (497 nucleotides) under uncultured bacterium. RNAcentral's name for it is "partial 16S ribosomal RNA". It matches the Rfam family "Bacterial small subunit ribosomal RNA", at positions 28 to 507 of the family's 1533-position model. The record is from RNAcentral.
GAUGAACGCUGGCGGCGUGCCUAAUACAUGCAAGUCGAGCGAACAGAUAAGGAGCUUGCUCCUUUGACGUUAGCGGCGGACGGGUGAGUAACACGUGGGUAACCUACCUAUAAGACUGGGAUAACUUCGGGAAACCGGAGCUAAUACCGGAUAACAUUUGGAACCGCAUGGUUCUAAAGUGAAAGAUGGUUUUGCUAUCACUUAUAGAUGGACCCGCGUCGUAUUAGCUAGUUGGUAAGGUAACGGCUUACCAAGGCGACGAUACGUAGCCGACCUGAGAGGGUGAUCGGCCACACUGGAACUGAGACACGGUCCAGACUCCUACGGGAGGCAGCAGUAGGGAAUCUUCCGCAAUGGGCGAAAGCCUGACGGAGCAACGCCGCGUGAGUGAUGAAGGGUUUCGGCUCGUAAAACUCUGUUAUUAGGGAAGAACAAAUGUGUAAGUAACUGUGCACGUCCUGACGGUACCUAAUCAGAAAGCCACGGCUAACUACGUG